Molecule: ribosomal RNA, 413 nt
Filed under: uncultured microorganism
Description: bacterial SSU rRNA
Rfam family: Archaeal small subunit ribosomal RNA
Source: RNAcentral
GUGCACCAGGCGAGAAACCUCCGCAAUACACGAAAGUGUGACGGGGCCAUCCCGAGUGCCGUCCGCUGAGGACGGCUUUUCCCCAGUGUACACAGCUGGGGGAAUAAGGAGAGGGCAAGCCUGGUGUCAGCCGCCGCGGUAAUACCAGCUCUCCGAGUGGUGGGGACGCUUAUUGGGCCUAAAGCAUCCGUAGCCGGCUGGGCAAGUCCUCCGUUAAAUCCAACGAUUCAAUCGUUGGGCUGCGGGGGAUACUGUCCAGCUUGGGGGCGGGAGAGGCCGACGGUAUUCCCGGGGUAGGGGUGAAAUCCUAUAAUCCCGGGAGGACCACCAGUGGCGAAGGCUGUCGGCUAGAACGCGCCCGACGGUGAGGGAUGAAAGCUGGGGGAGCGAACCGGAUUAGAUAUCCCUGUAGU